GCAUGCCUAACACAUGCAAGUCGAACGAAAAAGGUCUUCGGGCCUUUUUAGUGGCAAACGGGCGAGUAACACAUAUUUAACUUGCUCAUCCGAGGAGAAUAGCAGCCCGAAAGGGCUAUUAAUACGCCAUAGUUUUAAAUUAGUGAAUUAAUUUAAAUUAAAGGAGGCUGCCGAAAGGUGGCCUCGCGGAUGAAUAGGAAUAUGUCCUAUUAGGUCGUUGGAGAGGUAAUGGCUCACCAAGCCGAUGAUGGGUAGCUGGACUGAGAGGUUGAACAGCCGCAAUGGGAUUGAGAAAUGGCCCAUAUUCCUACGGGAAGCAGCAGUGAGGAAUUUUUCACAAUGGACGAAAGUCUGAUGGAGCAAUACCACGUGAACGAUGAAGGUCUUCUGAUUGUAAAGUUCUUUUAUUUAGGAAAAAAAGCGCGGCAGGAAAUGGCCGCGCCUUGAUUGUACUAAUUGAAUAAGUGACAGCUAACUAUGUGCCAGCAGCUGCGGUAAAACAUAGGUCACGAGCAUUAUCCGGAUUUAUUGGGCGUAAAGGAAGCGUAGGCUGAAAUGUGUAUUCAUUGUUAAAAAUAUUUGCUUAACAAGUGUUCGCGGUGAAGAUUACAUUUCUAGAAUUAGUUAGAGGGUACUGGAAUUCAAUGUGUAGUGGUGGAAUACGUAGAUAUAUUGAGGAACACCAGAGGCUAAGGCGAGUGCCUGGAACAUAAUUGACGCUGAGGCUUGAAAGCGUGGGUAGCAAAUGGGAUUAGAUACCCCAGUAGUCCACGCCGUAAACGAUGGGUAUUAGUCAUUUGGAUUUAAGACUGAGUGAUGUAGCUAACGCGUUAAAUACCCCGCCUGGGUAGUAUAUAUGCAAAUAUGAAACUCAAAGAAAUUGACGGGGACCUGAACAAGUGGUGGA
Molecule: ribosomal RNA, 907 nt
Filed under: uncultured Mycoplasma sp.
Lineage: Bacteria; Bacillati; Mycoplasmatota; Mollicutes; Mycoplasmatales; Mycoplasmataceae
Description: bacterial SSU rRNA
Rfam family: Bacterial small subunit ribosomal RNA
Source: RNAcentral